CUGAAUUUCUGUUAGGAGCAAAUCUUCUGGGUCCAUCUGGACUUGCACGUCAUCCAUGCCUUAUUCAGCCCAAGAGCCCAGAUAAGAGCUAAAGGAGAGAUUGGAGGUGAUCUCUUUCUCACUCCUCUACAAUUACAAAAUCUGAGAGUCAAGAAGGUUUGGAAGGAGACUGCUGCAAAUAACUCUUCCGUGAGAAGUUGGGGGGUUUGCAUCAUGGAAUUUAUAUAGACAAUUUCUGCAAAUAUCCCUUCAAUGUCAAGCCAACAAAGUAAAAUGUCAAGGGCCUACAUCUUAAGAGGGGGCUAGUUUUUAGGAUAAUUUUUCUAACAGUCUUUUGAGAUUUAUUCCUGUUUUCAUUUUGAGCAAAAUGAUUUCAAAACAUGACAUUAAAAAGUAC
This 397-nucleotide long non-coding RNA is filed under the name Callithrix jacchus (white-tufted-ear marmoset). Its description in RNAcentral is "lncRNA (ENSCJAG00000063681.2)". The record is from RNAcentral. Lineage: Eukaryota; Metazoa; Chordata; Mammalia; Primates; Cebidae.